AGUGAACGCUGGCGGUAGGCCUAACACAUGCAAGUCGAACGGCAGCACAGUAAGAGCUUGCUCUUACGGUUGGCGAGUGGCGGACGGGUGAGGAAUACAUCGGAAUCUACUUUUUCGUGGGUGAUAACGUAGGGAAACGUACGCUAAUACCGCAUACGACCUACGGGUGAAAGCAGGGGAUCUUCGGACCUUGCGCGAUUGAAUGAGCCGAUGUCGGAUUAGAUAGUUGGCGGGGUAACGGCCCACCAAGGCGACGAUCCGUAGCUGGUCUGAGAGGAUGAUCAGCCACACUGGAACUGAGACACGGUCCAGACUCCUACGGGAGGCAGCAGUGGGGAAUAUUGGACAAUGGGCGCAAGCCUGAUCCAGCCAUACCGCGUGGGUGAAGAAGGCCUUCGGGUUGUAAAGCCCUUUUGUUGGGAAAGAAAAGAAGCAGGUUAAUACCCCGCUGUUCUGACGGUACCCAAAGAAUAAGCACCGGCUAACUUCGUG
Molecule: ribosomal RNA, 492 nt
Filed under: uncultured bacterium
Lineage: Bacteria
Description: partial 16S ribosomal RNA
Rfam family: Bacterial small subunit ribosomal RNA
Source: RNAcentral